GCUGAAAUAGCUCACUUGGGAGUGCGUUAGGCUGCAGUUCUAUAGGUCCCUGGUUCAGUCCCAGGUUUUGGCA
Molecule: non-coding RNA, 73 nt
Organism: Caranx melampygus (bluefin trevally)
Lineage: Eukaryota; Metazoa; Chordata; Actinopteri; Carangiformes; Carangidae
Source: the annotation of a GenBank genome assembly